Molecule: long non-coding RNA, 945 nt
Organism: Patella vulgata (common limpet)
Lineage: Eukaryota; Metazoa; Mollusca; Gastropoda; Patellidae
Exons: 3
Source: RefSeq, a predicted model, not a curated record
UGUCAUCUGGGAUCCAUAACUUAAAACGACUGAUUGUUUUUAGAUUAAAGAAUCAACAAGAACAUCUUUGAAAUCAGUAGAGAAAUUCAGUUUCACAGAGAUUACCGAUCAGACUUUGAGAAGCGGAAUACUGACGGAAAUUUAAGAGAUUUAUUAAUUCAUAUCAUUUUGGUAUCAAUAGAAAGCUCAACAGCUUGGAUUCGGCUUGGAUCUCUAGUAAAUAUAUCAGAAGUCACAGGAGCAACCCGGAACCCCAUAGAACACCAGAUAAAACAACACAUAGAGAAACAAGAACAAUGAUCAGGCUGUUUUUAGCAACCCUAACUGCGCACGUUCUGGUGACGUCACAUGCAAUGCCAUCUGUGUAUGUCCCAACGUCCCUUUUACCUGAAGACUACAUUGAACUCGACCGUUUACCUAAUCAAAACAGUGACCUCGAUCUAAAAGUGAAUUUGAAUUUAUACAAAGCAAUGCUUCUAACGAAGCUUUCAAAAGAACUCCCUUUCGAGAAUCUAGAAGCUAGUCCGCCUACAGAAGUUUCGGGUGAGCAAAACGAAAAAUCUCAAAUUGUGUCGAUUGGAAAGAGGUCCAACCUAUCAAUUAAUCAGGAAUUAAAAACUCUAGCACGCAUGCUCGUUUCCAGGAACAACAGACGUCGUAGAGAUAGGAUGUUUGAAGUACGAUCCCGACUCCGAUCUUUAGGAAAACGCAGUGUCCGAGAUACUAAUGAUAACGAAACCUGGGAAUUUAUGACGUCACAUCCAUAGAGAUUGGAGUCAUUCUAUCGACCAACUGGCCAAGUUAUACAUUGGAGUAGUUAUUAUGUGACCCCAGAAGCUGGAAGCAGAUUUUGUUUUCGUUUUAAAUAGUAGCGGAACUGAUACAUGCAUACCGGAAAUUCUAAAUCUCACGUGUAAUUAGGUUUAUUGUGAUAACAAAAUUGGA